This 1032-nucleotide ribosomal RNA is filed under the name uncultured eukaryote. RNAcentral's name for it is "eukaryotic LSU rRNA". The stretch from base 1 to 239 matches the Rfam family "Eukaryotic small subunit ribosomal RNA", at positions 1593 to 1831 of the family's 1831-position model. The record is from RNAcentral.
UUGCUCUUCAACGAGGAAUGCCUAGUAAGCGCGAGUCAUCAGCUCGCGUUGAUUACGUCCCUGCCCUUUGUACACACCGCCCGUCGCUCCUACCGAUUGGGUGUGCUGGUGAAAUGUUCGGAUCGACGUCAGCUGUGGGCAACUAUGGCUCACGUUGAGAAGAUCAUUAAACCCUCCCACCUAGAGGAAGGAGAAGUCGUAACAAGGUCUCCGUAGGUGAACCUGCGGAGGGAUCAUUGAAUCUAUCAAAUCAUACACCGUGAACCAUGGCUUGUCGGGGCCCCUCCGGGUUCCUAGCCUUCUCGGCUCAUCACUGGGCUCAACACUCAGUGUGGGUAUCGGGACUAGGUUAAGGCUCCUUUUUUUAUUUUUUAACCACAACACCCUACAAAUAUCGAAACAUUUGUCCCGAUGGAAUAAUGUUGCUGUAUCACCUCUGAUAUGGUGACAUUGCUCUGUCACUUUGAUGAGUUCCUAUCGUAGGAAUCAUUAAAUUUGGACAACUCUCAACAACGGAUAUCUUGGCUCUCGCAUCGAUGAAGAACGCAGCGAAAUGCGAAACGUAGUGUGAAUUGCAGAAUUCCGUGAAUCAUCAAAUCUUUGAACGCAUAUUGCGCCAGAGGCCUCGGCCGAUGGCAUGUCUGCCUCAGCGUCGGGCUAGUCUCAUAACAAUGUCACUUGUUAUGGAUAUUGAUUGUUCCACUGACAUGGUGGAUCAAUCGAAGUGCAGAGAUUGUGUGCAUCACAUUCAGUGACCCAUCAUUCGGGCGCCACAACUGGUUAGGGGGAAGGACUGUCAGAUAGUUGGGAGACCAACUUGAUGGCUGGCCUUGUCUUAUCUGGUUGUUGGAUUCCAUACCUGAAAUUGAUGGAAUCACGCUCUAUUAUUUAAUUAAUGGAAUGAUUGUGUAUGCCAUUCAUCUCACAGGAACAAUUGCUGUGUGAAUAGCAUGGCAACUGGUUAACUACACUUCUCGACCUGAGCUCAGGCAAGAACACCCGCUGAACUUAAGCAUAUCAAUAAGCGGAGGA